RNAcentral lists this transfer RNA (73 nucleotides) under Otolemur garnettii (small-eared galago). It matches the Rfam family "tRNA". Rfam says of the family: Transfer RNA (tRNA) molecules are approximately 80 nucleotides in length. Their secondary structure includes four short double-helical elements and three loops (D, anti-codon, and T loops). Lineage: Eukaryota; Metazoa; Chordata; Mammalia; Primates; Galagidae. The record is from Rfam by way of RNAcentral.
GUCUCUGUGGUGCAACUGGUUAGUGCAUUCAGCUGUUAACUGAUAGGCUAAUGGUUUGAGCCCACCAGGGACA